Long non-coding RNA from Vigna unguiculata (cowpea), 587 nucleotides. RefSeq lists it as uncharacterized. The record is from RefSeq and is a predicted model, not a curated record. NCBI's taxonomy places the organism in Eukaryota, Viridiplantae, Streptophyta, Magnoliopsida, Fabales, Fabaceae.
AGAAAUAUAAAGCGCCAACUUUUAUUGAAAAAAUAGAAACAUUAUCAUCUUAAUUCUUAACGGACGGGAAAUUAGGAAAGAGUAAAGAAAAGAUUGGGGUGGAGAAGGCGAAGAAAGGGUCAAGACGAUUUCAUCUUUGAAGCGCUGAAAAUAAGGAAAUAUCAGAAAGUUAUAUGGAUUGCAAAUCACCGAGCAAGAAGGCAUCUGAGGAGCUGGCACGUGAGUUACUCAUUGCUAUCUCUGAUUCUUUACCUGAUAAAAUUCUGGAUUCAGAUAUUGUGCCUGAAAGCGAGGAAGCAGAUGGCUUUGCAAGACCAAAUGUUGAUUGGGAUGACAAAUUUAGGUCUGAAUUGAUUUCAAUCUCCUAUGUUGAAUCUCCCGAUGUCAAAAUCUGAAAAAACUUAAGAGGAGUAUAGACUGUAAUAUAUGCUACACUAUUAUGUUUUGAAUUUCUGCUGUACCGAAUGUUAUAAAUUGGUUAAGGCUAUACUAUGUGGACUAUCUUCAAUCACCUGUUUUUACCAGUCACACAUGCCUGGUUCUGUAGUCUGUUAUGUUUAUGUUAAUGGAAAAUUCAAUCUGGAGAA